RNAcentral lists this ribosomal RNA (254 nucleotides) under uncultured bacterium. Its description in RNAcentral is "partial 16S ribosomal RNA". It matches the Rfam family "Bacterial small subunit ribosomal RNA", at positions 524 to 776 of the family's 1533-position model. The record is from RNAcentral.
UACGUAGGAGGCAAGCGUUGUCCGGAAUUACUGGGCGUAAAGAGCGUGUAGGCGGUAGAGUAAGUCUGUAGUGAAAUCUCAUGGCUCAACUGUGAGAGGUCUAUGGAAACUGCUCAACUGGAGGAAGGUAGAGGAGGGUGGAAUUCCCGGUGUAGUGGUGAAAUGCGUAGAUAUCAGGAGGAACACCAGUGGUGUAGACGGCGGACCUGGGCCAAUAUUGACGCUGAGGUGCGAAAGCGUGGGGAGCAAACAGG